CAGCACCUCAAGUGGUCAGGAUGAUUAUUGGGCCUAAAGCAUCCGUAGCCGGCUCUGUAAGUUUUCGGUUAAAUCUGUAUGCUCAACAUACAGGCUGCCGGGAAUACUGCAGAGCUAGGGAGUGGGAGAGGUAGACGGUACUCGGUAGGAAGGGGUAAAAUCCUUUGAUCUAUUGAUGACCACCUGUGGCGAAGGCGGUCUACCAGAACACGUCCGACGGUGAGGGAUGAAAGCUGGGGGAGCAAACCGGAUUAGAUACCCGCGUGUCC
This 269-nucleotide ribosomal RNA is filed under the name uncultured archaeon. RNAcentral describes it as "partial 16S ribosomal RNA". It matches the Rfam family "Archaeal small subunit ribosomal RNA", at positions 477 to 747 of the family's 1478-position model. The record is from RNAcentral.